UACGUAGGGGGCUAGCGUUGUCCGGAUUUAUUGGGCGUAAAGAGCUCGUAGGCGGUCUGUCGCGUCGGCUGUGAAAUCCCGAGGCUCAACCUCGGGUCUGCAGUCGAUACGGGCAAACUAGAGUAUUGCAGGGGAGACUGGAAUUCCUGGUGUAGCGGUGAAAUGCGCAGAUAUCAGGAGGAACACCGGUGGCGAAGGCGGGUCUCUGGGCAAUAACUGACGCUGAGGAGCGAAAGCGUGGGGAGCGAACAGG
RNAcentral lists this ribosomal RNA (253 nucleotides) under uncultured bacterium. Its description in RNAcentral is "partial 16S ribosomal RNA". It matches the Rfam family "Bacterial small subunit ribosomal RNA", at positions 524 to 776 of the family's 1533-position model. The record is from RNAcentral.